GCUGAAUAUGGAGCAUCAAAAAGUGAUGUUGGAUCUGCAGAAAUUACCCAAGGAGAUUAAUGAGGCCUUGCAGAAGUGCAAGCAGCUUACUGAGGAAACUGUCUCCUGCAGGAUUCUCCACAACCAGGUCCUGAAUGAGUGGACUCAGCUGAAGGAAAAAGUAAGGGUGCUGAGAGAGGAGAACAGAAAACUUCGACGGGAGCAGAUUUCACUACAAGAGUCCAGUGAGGAGAUGAAGAUGCUCUGUGGGGAGGCCCAUGAGAAGAUCUAUGAACUCUCGGCCAAGGAGAUGCUGAAACAGGAAAAAUUGGAGGAAAGACUGCAAUACCUGCUGAAGCAGAGAGAUCUGGUCACCAAGCAAAUGAUCCUGGCAGAAAAGCUGCAGCAUCACUUCACGGUCUCCCAGAAGAGGUUUGAAAACCUCCGGCGUGAACUGGAACAGAUCACAGACCAGGGUGAGAGCCUCCUGCCGAUGGAGAUGCUGCAGCAGGAGCAUUGAGUGUAAGUGAGCCACUAUUGACUCCUACCCCUGCAACCUUGGUAUUCAUGGGGAGCAUUUUCUUCCUUGACAUUGGUUUCCUGUGAGUGAAUUGGACCUGGUUUUGUCUGCACCAUGGUCCAGUGAGGCUGCCUAUGUGUCUGAUUGCCUUUCCUUCUCUGACAGCACCCCUUGCAAGAACUGGGAUGUUGAAGGAAGCCACAUAUAUUUUCCACUCUAGCAUCAACUCUUGCUCAAAAAGGACACCUCCUUAUAACUGUGAACUAACAAGGAAAACUAAAACAUACUACAUGGGGAACCUUCCCCUUUCUGAUCCAUGUGUCUGAUGUUGGCCUAUUCCCGGAGACAAGAAAUCAUCAGAAAGAAGCUUGCGAUUCAGAGGACCCACCCAGACUUACUCAGAAUGCAGACAUCCAUCAGCUGGUGGCCCCGAGUGGGGCACAGAAGCAUGGGGGAGCGUAUGUUACUGAGCAUGGUUACUCUGCCAUUUUCCUCUCCAUGUCUUUAGUAAGCUGACUGAGUCCUCCUUAUGUGGUGAGAAACCUGACAAACAGACUGUAUGGAUGCCAUGCUGUUAUGUAUACAUACCACAUGGAAAAGAAUAGGAUUGCCUCUCCAGGGAAGGGCUGAAGCCAACACCAUGCACCACAGAGACUCCAGCACUCCUCACACCUUGUGUUAGUUGUUGGAUCUUCCAUGAAUAAAAUGACUGGGGAUUCCCCAGUUUCACAGUCUGCACUGGCAUGACCAGUCCUGAGAAAGGAUUUAUACAGGAGGUCUCAGACACUUUUGGAUAGACAAAUGCUCUCUGAUGAUUUGUUGGGUCUAGAGCAAGAGAAUAUUGUUAACUUAAUUUGAGGGUGGGGACAUCUGGUUUUGGCUCGGGUUUUGUUUGAUUAGGAUUUUUAGUUUUCUUUGCCCUUGUUUGAAGUUUUGUUAUUAUUUGAUAAUUAUUUUGCUGUUGUCAUUGUUUUCAUAGUUGACUAAGGCUAUACACUGUAUAUACUUCCUGCCCUUUUUCAGCACUUGUUGAGCAAAAUGAAUAUUUUUAUUCAUAAAAACAAUGUUGUUGUAUUCUUGUCACUCCAGAACACACAGGUAGGGUUGGAACUCUCUAAUUUCCUGCAGCCUUGGUGACACAGUGAGUUUUCACUCAGCCAGGAAUUCACAGGCAGAUAGGACCUCAUCCC
RNAcentral lists this long non-coding RNA (1689 nucleotides) under Cricetulus griseus (Chinese hamster). RNAcentral describes it as "lncRNA (ENSCGRG00000024963.1)". Lineage: Eukaryota; Metazoa; Chordata; Mammalia; Rodentia; Cricetidae. The record is from RNAcentral.